UCCAGACUCCUACGGGAGGCAGCAGUGGGGAAUAUUGCACAAUGGGGGAAACCCUGAUGCAGCGGCGCCGCGUGAGUGAAGAAGUAAUUCGUUAUGUAAAGCUCUAUCAGCAGGGAAGAAAAUGACGGUACCUGAGUAAGAAGCCCCGGCUAACUACGUGCCAGCAGCCGCGGUAAUACGUAGGGGGCAAGCGUUAUCCGGAUUUACUGGGUGUAAAGGGAGCGUAGACGGCAGUGCAAGUCUGGAGUGAAAGCCCGGGGCCCAACCCCGGGACUGCUCUUGGAACUGCGUGGCUGGAGUGCAGGAGGGGCAGGCGGAAUUCCUGGUGUAGCGGUGAAAUGCGUAGAUAUCAGGAGGAACACCGGUGGCGAAGGCGGCCUGCUGGACUGCAACUGACGUUGAGGCCCGAAAGCGUGGGGAGCAAACAGGAUUAGAUACCCGAGUAAG
RNAcentral lists this ribosomal RNA (447 nucleotides) under uncultured bacterium. RNAcentral describes it as "bacterial SSU rRNA". It matches the Rfam family "Bacterial small subunit ribosomal RNA", at positions 330 to 793 of the family's 1533-position model. The record is from RNAcentral.